UACGGAGGGAGCUAGCGUUGUUCGGAAUUACUGGGCGUAAAGCGCGCGUAGGCGGCUUUGUAAGUUAGAGGUGAAAGCCCGGGGCUCAACCCCGGAACUGCCUUUAAGACUGCAUCGCUUGAAUCCAGGAGAGGUGAGUGGAAUUCCGAGUGUAGAGGUGAAAUUCGUAGAUAUUCGGAGGAACACCGGUGGCGAAGGCGGCUACCUGGACCGGUACUGACGCUGAGGCGCGAAAGCUAGGGUAGCAAACAGG
RNAcentral lists this ribosomal RNA (253 nucleotides) under uncultured bacterium. RNAcentral's name for it is "partial 16S ribosomal RNA". It matches the Rfam family "Bacterial small subunit ribosomal RNA", at positions 524 to 776 of the family's 1533-position model. The record is from RNAcentral.